This 494-nucleotide ribosomal RNA is filed under the name uncultured bacterium. RNAcentral's name for it is "partial 16S ribosomal RNA". It matches the Rfam family "Bacterial small subunit ribosomal RNA", at positions 28 to 507 of the family's 1533-position model. The record is from RNAcentral.
GACGAACGCUGGCGGCGUGCUUAACACAUGCAAGUCGAACGGAAAGGCCUGCUUUCCCUUGUGGAUUGCGGGUACUCGAGUGGCGAACGGGUGAGUAACACGUGAGUGAUCUGCCCCCAACUUGGGUAUAAGCCUGGGAAACUGGGUCUAAUUCCCGAUAGGACUGCAGGGUGGUGCCUGUGGUGGAAAACGAUCUUCUAGUGGUUGGGGAUGAGCUCUCGGCCUAUCAGCUUGUUGGUGGGGUAAUGGCCUACCAAGGCGGCGACGGGUAGCCGGCCUGGGAGGGUGGACGGCCACAUUGGGACUGAGAUACGGCCCAGACUCCGACGGGAGGCAGCAGUGGGGAAUAUUGGACAAUGGGCGGAAGCCUGAUGCAGCGACGCGGCGUGGGGGAUGACGGCCUUCGGGUUGUAAACUCCUUUCGACCGCGAGGAAGCCACCUGGUUGGAAGGGUGGUGACGGUAGUGGUAGAAGAAGCACCGGCUAACUACGUG